UAUUGUAGCAACAACAUGCAAUGGGCU
This 27-nucleotide small RNA is filed under the name Bombyx mori (domestic silkworm). Its description in RNAcentral is "ovarian small RNA-24275". Lineage: Eukaryota; Metazoa; Arthropoda; Insecta; Lepidoptera; Bombycidae. The record is from RNAcentral.